RNAcentral lists this ribosomal RNA (351 nucleotides) under uncultured Gammaproteobacteria bacterium. RNAcentral's name for it is "bacterial SSU rRNA". It matches the Rfam family "Bacterial small subunit ribosomal RNA", at positions 120 to 475 of the family's 1533-position model. The record is from RNAcentral. Lineage: Bacteria; Pseudomonadati; Pseudomonadota; Gammaproteobacteria.
GGGAAUCUACCUACUAGUGGAGGAUAACUCGGGGAAACUCGAGCUAAUACUGCAUACGCCCUACGGGGGAAAGCGGGGGAUCUUCGGACCUCGUGCUAUUGGAUGAGCCCGCGUUAGAUUAGCUUGUUGGUGAGGUAAUGGCUCACCAAGGCGACGAUCUAUAGCUGGUCUGAGAGGAUGAUCAGCCACAUUGGGACUGAGACACGGCCCAAACUCCUACGGGAGGCAGCAGUGGGGAAUAUUGCGCAAUGGGCGAAAGCCUGACGCAGCCAUGCCGCGUGUGUGAAGAAAGCCUUCGGGUUGUAAAGCACUUUCAAUAGGGAGGAAAGGUUGUAGUUUAAUACGCUGCAA